Molecule: ribosomal RNA, 232 nt
Filed under: uncultured bacterium
Lineage: Bacteria
Description: partial 16S ribosomal RNA
Rfam family: Bacterial small subunit ribosomal RNA
Source: RNAcentral
ACGGGUGAGUAACACGUAUCCAACUUGCCGUCUACUCUUGGACAGCCUUCUGAAAGGAAGAUUAAUACAAGAUGGCAUCAUGAGUCCGCAUGUUCACAUGAUUAAAGGUAUUCCGGUAGACGAUGGGGAUGCGUUCCAUUAGAUAGUAGGCGGGGUAACGGCCCACCUAGUCUUCGAUGGAUAGGGGUUCUGAGAGGAAGGUCCCCCACAUUGGAACUGAGACACGGUCCAA